GUUACAGCAGUUAAAACUCCGGAGUACACGAUCAUUACGGCAAUAUAGAUAACAGAAAAAACUGAAUCCAAG
Molecule: transfer RNA, 72 nt
Filed under: Synechococcus sp. CC9902
Lineage: Bacteria; Bacillati; Cyanobacteriota; Cyanophyceae; Synechococcales; Synechococcaceae
Description: tRNA-Val
Source: RNAcentral